AGCCCAACAGCUAGCUCACACGCCAAAGUACAACAGUUCAUUAUAUAUAAACCCUAAAACCCAACACACCUUAAAACAAACCAUUUUUCCCCCUUAGUAUGGGUGACAGAAAAGGAAGCACGGAAGCAACAGCCAAAGUACCGCAAGGGAAUGCUGAAAGAGAAAUGAAACAAAUCAGUAUAAGCAUAACAAAGCAGAGCUUAGUUCUCGUACCUUUUGCAUCAUGAAUUAGCAAGAAACCCUCAAGCAAAAAGUAUUUUAGUUUGAUACCCCGAAACCAAGUGAGCUACUCCAAGACAGCCUAUUAAGGGCGAACCCGUCUCUGUGGCAAAAGAGUGGGACGAGCUUUGAGUAGAGGUGACAGACCUACCGAACUUGGUUAUAGCUGGUUGUCCAAGAAUUGAAUAGAAGUUCAGCCUUUUUUCCUCUCACCCCACCACCUUACUUCACCCUAAGGACCAGAGAGGCUAAAAGAGUUAGUCGAAGGGGGUACAGCCCCUUUGAAAUAGACACAACUUUACCAGAAGGGUUAAGAUUAUAUGACUUCAGGGAUUAUGUUUUAGUUGGCCUAAAAGCAGCCAUCCACUCAGAAAGCGUUAAAGCUCAUACACCAUUUAACCCUAUUAUUCGAACCACCCAAUCUUAUCCCCCUAGUAUAUACUGGACCUCUCCAUCUUAAUGGAAGAGAUUAUGCUAAUAUGAGUAAUAAGAGACCUAGACUCUCUCCCAGCACAAGUUUAAAUCGGAACGAACUAACACCGAAAAUUAACGGCCUCAGAAGAGGGUACUGGAACAUUUUGGGAAACCCACUAGAAAUACAUCCACACAAGCCACCGUUGAUCUUACACUAGAGUGCAUCCAAGGAAAGACUAAAUGAGAAAGAAGGAACUCGGCA
Molecule: ribosomal RNA, 895 nt
Filed under: Zapogon evermanni (Evermann's cardinalfish)
Lineage: Eukaryota; Metazoa; Chordata; Actinopteri; Kurtiformes; Apogonidae
Description: partial 16S ribosomal RNA
Rfam family: Bacterial large subunit ribosomal RNA (bases 192-895)
Source: RNAcentral